GACGAACGCUGGCGGCGUGCUUAACACAUGCAAGUCGAGCGGUAAGGCCUCUUCGGGGGUACUCGAGCGGCGAACGGGUGAGUAACACGUGAGUAACCUGCCCUCAACUUCGGGAUAAGCCUGGGAAACUGGGUCUAAUACCGGAUAUGACUACUUCGGGCAUCCGAUGGUGGUGGAAAGUUUUUCGGUUGGGGAGUGGCGUCGCGGCCUAUCAGCUUGUUGGUGGGGUAA
This 231-nucleotide ribosomal RNA is filed under the name uncultured bacterium. Its description in RNAcentral is "partial 16S ribosomal RNA". It matches the Rfam family "Bacterial small subunit ribosomal RNA", at positions 28 to 260 of the family's 1533-position model. The record is from RNAcentral.